UGUGCUAUACGAGCGGCCGAUGUCUGAUUAGCUAGUUGGUGGGGUAAAGGCUCACCAAGGCGACGAUCAGUAGCGGGUCUGAGAGGAUGAUCCGCCACACUGGGACUGAGACACGGCCCAGACUCCUACGGGAGGCAGCAGUGGGGAAUUUUGGACAAUGGGCGAAAGCCUGAUCCAGCCAUGCCGCGUGUCUGAAGAAGGCCUUCGGGCUGUAAAGCUCUUUUGUCAGGGACGAUGAUGACGGUACCUGACGAAUAAGCUCCGGCUAACUUCGUGCCAGCAGCCGCGGUAAUACGAGGGGAGCUAGCGUUGUUCGGAAUUACUGGGCGUAAAGGGCGUGUAGGCGGUACCAUAAGUCAGAUGUGAAAGCCCUGGGCUUAACCUAGGAUGUGCAUUUGAUACUGUGGAACUAGAGAUCGAGAGAGGAAAGUGGAAUUACGAGUGUAGAGGUGAAAUUCGUAGAUAUUCGUAAGAACACCAGUGGCGAAGGCGACUUUCUGGCUCGAUACUGACGCUAAGGCGCGAAAGCGUGGGGAGCAAACAGGAUUAGAU
This 552-nucleotide ribosomal RNA is filed under the name uncultured bacterium. RNAcentral's name for it is "bacterial SSU rRNA". It matches the Rfam family "Bacterial small subunit ribosomal RNA", at positions 214 to 783 of the family's 1533-position model. The record is from RNAcentral.